This 529-nucleotide ribosomal RNA is filed under the name uncultured bacterium. RNAcentral describes it as "bacterial SSU rRNA". It matches the Rfam family "Bacterial small subunit ribosomal RNA", at positions 56 to 573 of the family's 1533-position model. The record is from RNAcentral.
UGCAAGUCGAGGGGCAGCAUUUCAGUUUGCUUGCAAACUGGAGAUGGCGACCGGCGCACGGGUGAGUAACACGUAUCCAACCUGCCGAUAACUCGGGGAUAGCCUUUCGAAAGAAAGAUUAAUACCCGAUGGUAUAAUCAGACCGCAUGGUCUUGUUAUUAAAGAAUUUCGGUUAUCGAUGGGGAUGCGUUCCAUUAGGCAGUUGGUGAGGUAACGGCUCACCAAACCUUCGAUGGAUAGGGGUUCUGAGAGGAAGGUCCCCCACAUUGGAACUGAGACACGGUCCAAACUCCUACGGGAGGCAGCAGUGAGGAAUAUUGGUCAAUGGGCGCAGGCCUGAACCAGCCAAGUAGCGUGAAGGAUGACUGCCCUAUGGGUUGUAAACUUCUUUUAUAUGGGAAUAAAGUUUUCCACGUGUGGAAUUUUGUAUGUACCAUAUGAAUAAGGAUCGGCUAACUCCGUGCCAGCAGCCGCGGUAAUACGUAGGUCACAAGCGUUGUCCGGAAUUACUGGGUGUAAAGGGAGCGCA